GUCUAUGGCCAUGCUACCUUGAACAAGCCCAAUCCCAUCUGAUCUUGGAAGCUAAGCAGGGACUGUCCUGAUUAGUACUUUGAUGGGAGACCAACUAGGAAGACCAGGUGCCAUAGGCG
RNAcentral lists this ribosomal RNA (119 nucleotides) under Pteropus alecto (black flying fox). The record is from RNAcentral. Lineage: Eukaryota; Metazoa; Chordata; Mammalia; Chiroptera; Pteropodidae.